This 255-nucleotide ribosomal RNA is filed under the name Triticum aestivum (bread wheat). RNAcentral's name for it is "partial small subunit ribosomal RNA". Lineage: Eukaryota; Viridiplantae; Streptophyta; Magnoliopsida; Poales; Poaceae. The record is from RNAcentral.
AUGACAUCCCCUCAGCAAUCCAUCAUGGUCCGUUAUGCUGGGCACAUGCCUACACUUCUUGUCGUCCACGCCCCAAUGCUGAAUCACAACUCCCAGGCUCAAAUAAAUCAGGGUGCAUACCGGCACCUCCACAAGCGCGUAUGCGCAGCCACCGCCCCAUCCCCUCUUGCAACUGGUCGACUGACACAGACGCGCAGCCGCCACUCCAUCCCCUCUCACGAACGCUCUCUCUAUCACGGCCACCGCUCGGGUUGA